ACUCCUUCGGAUAGCCUCCGAAGGGAGAUAUAAAGAUGGUAUUCAAUUCCGCAUGUUAUUUGAAUUAAAGAUUUAU
RNAcentral lists this ribosomal RNA (76 nucleotides) under uncultured Bacteroidota bacterium. RNAcentral describes it as "uncultured Bacteroidetes bacterium partial 16S ribosomal RNA". The record is from RNAcentral. Lineage: Bacteria; Pseudomonadati; Bacteroidota.